ACGGCAUCAGUAAUGAUGGGUAGGGGAGCUUCCCAUACGGGUUGAAGCAUGACCGUAAGGACAUGUGGACAGUAUGGGAGUGAGAAUGUUGGCAUGAGUAGCGAGAUGUGGGUGAGAAUCCCACAGGACGUAAACCCAAGGUUUCCAGGGGAAGGUUCGUCCGCCCUGGGUUAGUCGGGACCUAAGCUGAGGCCGAAAGGCGUAGG
Molecule: ribosomal RNA, 206 nt
Filed under: Clostridioides difficile
Lineage: Bacteria; Bacillati; Bacillota; Clostridia; Peptostreptococcales; Peptostreptococcaceae
Description: partial 23S ribosomal RNA
Rfam family: Bacterial large subunit ribosomal RNA
Source: RNAcentral